GACGAACGCUGGCGGCGUGCCUAACACAUGCAAGUCGAACGGAACUGUUUUGAAAGAUUUCUUCGGAAUGAAUUUGAUUUAGUUUAGUGGCGGACGGGUGAGUAACGCGUGAGUAACCUGCCUUCAAGAGGGGGAUAACAUUCUGAAAAGAAUGCUAAUACCGCAUGACAUAUCGGAAUCACAUGAUUUUGAUAUCAAAGAUUUUAUCGCUUGAAGAUGGACUCGCGUCCGAUUAGUUAGUUGGUGAGGUAACGGCUCACCAAGACCGCGAUCGGUAGCCGGACUGAGAGGUUGAACGGCCACAUUGGGACUGAGACACGGCCCAGACUCCUACGGGAGGCAGCAGUGGGGGAUAUUGCGCAAUGGGGGCAACCCUGACGCAGCAACGCCGCGUGAAGGAUGAAGGUUUUCGGAUUGUAAACUUCUUUUAUUAAGGACGAAAAAUGACGGUACUUAAUGAAUAAGCUCCGGC
Molecule: ribosomal RNA, 472 nt
Filed under: uncultured bacterium
Lineage: Bacteria
Description: bacterial SSU rRNA
Rfam family: Bacterial small subunit ribosomal RNA
Source: RNAcentral